This 332-nucleotide ribosomal RNA is filed under the name uncultured eukaryote. RNAcentral's name for it is "partial 18S ribosomal RNA". It matches the Rfam family "Eukaryotic small subunit ribosomal RNA", at positions 1470 to 1796 of the family's 1831-position model. The record is from RNAcentral.
CCCUUAGAUGUUCUGGGCCGCACGCGCGCUACACUGUUCGACGCAGCGAGUCUUAACCUUGACCGAAAGGUUUGGGUAAUCUUCAGCAAAGUCGAACGUGAUGGGGAUCGAUCAUUGCAAUUAUUGAUCGUGAACGAGGAAUUCCUAGUAAGUGCAAGUCAUCAGCUUGCGCUGAUUACGUCCCUGCCCUUUGUACACACCGCCCGUCGCUACUACCGAUUGAAUGGUUUAGUGAGAUCUCUGGAUUGACGCUGGCUAGGGGGCGACCCUUGGCCAGACUGCUCGAGAAACUGUUCAAACUUGAUCAUUUAGAGGAAGUAAAAGUCGUAACA